RNAcentral lists this ribosomal RNA (2634 nucleotides) under Eucheuma denticulatum. RNAcentral describes it as "LSU rRNA". It matches the Rfam family "Bacterial large subunit ribosomal RNA". The record is from RNAcentral. Lineage: Eukaryota; Rhodophyta; Florideophyceae; Gigartinales; Solieriaceae.
UAGAUUUUUGGUUAAGUUAGUUAAAAAUUUUUAUAUUGGGCAUUCAACAGAAAUCUUGAUAAAAAAUGUAAAAGGGACGUGUCGUUACGAAAAUUUAUAAGUAGGUACAGACCUGUGAUUUAUAAAUUUCCCAUGAGUAAACUUUAUAUAAGAUAAAAAUAUAUAAUAAUGUGAAUUGAAUCAUCUUAGUAGCAUUUAAUCAAAAUCAACCGAGAGAUCGUGAUUAGCGGUGAGCCAAAGCGAUUAUAAAGCUUAAUUAACAUAUGAAUAUUUAAUUUAUAAAAAAAUUACUUUAAAAGGUAAAAGUCCUGUAAUGAGUUAAAAUUCAAAUGUUUGUAAGUAACGUGAAAUUUUUUAUUUUGCGCGAAUAGGGGAGAACCACCUUCCAAGCUUCUUAACUUUUUUUAAUCGAUAGUGAACGAGUACUGUGAAGAAAAGACGAAAAGUUCCGAAAGGCUAAAAUUUUAAAUUGGAUGUCCAUAAGUAUUCGAAAUUUCUAUCAGAAAUAACGGAGUUCCUUUUGCAUAAUGAGUCAGUAAGUUAAUAAGUAUAGCAAGUCAAUGUAUUUAUAAUUAGACUAAUUUGAAGUAAUAUUUAUUAAACCCGAAACCAAGUGAUCUAGUUAUGAGCAGGUUGAAAAUUCCUUAAUAAGUUUUUGAGGACCGAACUUCUAUAUGUAGCAAAAUAUAAAGAGGACUCGUGACUAGGAGUGAAAGUCUAAUCAAACUUGGAAAUAGCUGGUUUUUCACGAAACGUAUUUUAGUACGGCAUUAAUUACUUUAUAAAUUGAAGAUAAAGUUCAAGUUAAAUUAAGGGAUUUUUAAUUUACUUAAUUUGAUUUACCUUACAAUUUUAAUUUAAUGAAAUUAAUAGACAGUCUUUAGGCGAUAAGGUUUAAAGACGAAAGGGCAACAACCCAAAUCGCAUGUUAAGAUCUCUAAAGUACAAGUUCAGUGUGGAAGUUUUUGAAAGAAUCAAAUAAUUUUUUAAAUAGGCUUAGAAGCAGCCUUUUAUUAGAGAAAGCGUUUUAGCUCAUUAUUACUGUUUCAAAAAUUAAAAUAAUGGAGGCUUAAAUUGUAUAUCGAAACGGCGAAUUAUAUUUGAUGGUAGUGAAACGUUCUGUAAAAUUUAUUUUUAAUUUAAAAAUUAAAUUAAAGACUCAGAAGUGUCUAUGCUGACAUGAGUAGCGUAAACUAUGUUAAGAAAUCAUAGUCAUCUUACGUUUAAGGUUUUCGAUGUAAUUUCAAAUUCAUCGAGUUAAUCGGUCCUUAAGAGGAGAACAAUUGUGAAGGCUGUACUCGAUAGGAAUUACUAUGAAAUCUGCUAUAUAUGAUAUUUUAAGUCAUGUAAAAAGAAAGAGUAAAAUAUAAAGUGGUUUCUUUGAUCUAAUAUUCUUUUUUUCGAGAAAAAAUUAUAGCAUUUGAAGACCGUACUUAAACCGACACUGGGAAACCUAUUGAAUAUAUUAAGAUGAAUGAAUAAAUUAUAUUUAAGGAAUUAGGCAAAUUGACUUCGUAAGUUCGCGAUAAGAAGUGCCUUUAAUUUAGGUAAAAUAAAAUAAAAAACAACGACUGGUUAUCAAAACCACAGGACUUUGCAAAUUUAUAGAAAAAGUAUAAAGUCUGACGCCUGCCCGGUGCUUAAAAAUAAUGAGUUGAAGUUUUAGCUUUGCCUUUAAAAGUAAGUAAACGGCGGUUCUAACUAUAAGAAUCCUCAGGUAGCGAAAUUCCUUGGCGGGUAAAUUCCGUCCUGCAUGAAUGGCGUAACGAUUGUUUUACUGUCUUAAGUAUAAAUUCAGCGAAAUUACAAUACCUGUGAAAAUGCAGGUUACUUACAGCAAGACGGAAAGACCCUAGAUCCUUUACUUAAUUUUCAUAUUGUAAGAAUUAUAAGUUUGUGUAGAAUAAGUGGAAGUUAUAAACAUUCUUGAAAUACCACUCUUUGUUAGAUAAUAUCUUACUUAUUUAUCAAUAUCAUUAUUUAGGUAAAAAAAUUAUGAGAAGGAAAGUUUACUUGGGACGAGUAUCUCCUAAAAAGUAACGGAGAUGUACAAAAGUAAAUUAUAAAUGUGCAAUGGCUUAAAUUUGCUUGACUUUAAGAUUGAUAAAUCGAAUUGAGACGCAAGUCAGUCAUAGUGACCCGAUAUUUAAGUGUGGAAUUUAAUAUCGUUCAACAGAUAAAAGGAACUCUAGGGAUAACAGAUUCAUCGUGAUUGCGAGUCCAUAUCUAUGUCACGGUUUGAUACCUCGAUGUCGACUCAUCUUAUCCUGAAAUUGAAGUAGAUUUCAAGGGUCUAGUUGUUCGCUAGUUAAAAAGGUACGUGAGUUGGGUUCAGAACGUCGUGAGACAGUUCGGUCCCUAUCUGCUGUAAGUAUUGAAAAAUAAAGGUCUCUUUUCUAGUACGAGAGGAUCGAAAUGUCUUAACCUCUGGUCAAUUGAUUGUUAAACCAUUAGCAUAGUCAAGUAGCUACGUUAAGUUUGUAUAAAUACUGAAAGAAUCAAUAGUAUCAAAACUUACCUUGAAUUUUUCUAGAAUAUUCUAAAAGACUAUUAGAUUGAUCGAUUUAAAAGCUUUUUUAGCAAUAAAAAUCUUUGAUAAAUACGAAAAUAUUCAAUAAAAUAUUUUAAGUUAAC